CCUACGGGAGGCAGCAGUGGGGAAUAUUGCGCAAUGGGCGAAAGCCUGAUGCAGCGACGCCGCGUGAGGGAUGAAGGUCUUCGGAUCGUAAACCCCUGUCAGCAGGGAAGAAAGUGCACUGUGCUAAUCAGCAGUGAAUUGACGGUACCUGCAAAGGAAGCACCGGCUAACUCCGUGCCAGCAGCCGCGGUAAUACGGAGGUUGCGAGCGUUAAUCGGAUUUACUGGGCGUAAAGCGCUCGUAGGCGGUAUGUUAAGUCAAGGGUGAAAUCCCCGGGCUCAACGUGGGAACUGCAUUUGAAACUGGCAAACUUGAGUGCGUGAGAGGAUAGUGGAAUUCCAGGUGUAGGGGUGAAAUCCGUAGAUAUCUGGAGGAACACCAGUGGCGAAGGCGACUAUCUGGCACAUAACUGACGCUGAGGUGCGAAAGCGUGGGUAGCAAACAGGAUUAGAUACCCGAGUAGUC
Molecule: ribosomal RNA, 465 nt
Filed under: uncultured bacterium
Lineage: Bacteria
Description: partial 16S ribosomal RNA
Rfam family: Bacterial small subunit ribosomal RNA
Source: RNAcentral